This 210-nucleotide ribosomal RNA is filed under the name uncultured bacterium. Its description in RNAcentral is "partial 16S ribosomal RNA". It matches the Rfam family "Bacterial small subunit ribosomal RNA", at positions 524 to 732 of the family's 1533-position model. The record is from RNAcentral.
UACGAAGGGGGCUAGCGUUGCUCGGAAUCACUGGGCGUAAAGGGUGCGUAGGCGGGUCUUUAAGUCAGGGGUGAAAUCCUGGAGCUCAACUCCAGAACUGCCUUUGAUACUGAAGAUCUUGAGUUCGGGAGAGGUGAGUGGAACUGCGAGUGUAGAGGUGAAAUUCGUAGAUAUUCGCAAGAACACCAGUGGCGAAGGCGGCCCCACUGG